Molecule: RNA transcript, 6425 nt
Organism: Nasonia vitripennis (jewel wasp)
Lineage: Eukaryota; Metazoa; Arthropoda; Insecta; Hymenoptera; Pteromalidae
Gene: Ndae1
Gene name: electroneutral sodium bicarbonate exchanger 1
Exons: 24
Source: RefSeq, a predicted model, not a curated record
GUCGCUACGGGCCGAGAAGUAAACACAGAAAGUCUCAGUUGGCGCUCAACGCGGUGCGUGGACGCACAUAGUCGUGUACACUGCUGCAGUCGGCCCGAUAUCGCACGACGCGCACACGUGCCGCGCGCUCCGGACUUCGUUCUCCCGAAGAUGUGCAGCAGCCUCUCGCUGGCGUUGCUCGGUCGUCGCGCGAGCAUCAAGGUGAAGAAGCGCGCUCUGGUUUGAGGAUCGUCACUUCGGCGUCCCCGAACUCGAUUUUCCACGGUUAUCGCGAGUUCUGUGCGCUGAGCCUCGAUUCAGUGCCGGAGGCGAAACUGGAAAGCUCAGGGAACGAUGAGCCAUCAUCACAUUGACAAACCGUGGAUGCAGCCGGGGGCAGGAGCUGGAGGUGGCGGGGGCCACCAGCCGGCAGCUGGAGGCCAAGGGGGUGGCGGUGGGACGGGCGACGAUGAAGCCCCCAAAGAUCCGGGGGCUCGCAUCACCCAUCAAUCCCAUCAGUACACGGAAAAGGACUUCGAAGGUCACCGAGCGCACACGGUCUACGUGGGUGUGCAUCUGCCGGGCGAGCGCAGACACAGGCGGCACCAUAAGCAUCAUCACUCGCGCAAUGGCUCCGGCAAAGAGGGAGAGUCCGAGGGCGAUAGACCCGGUCAGCAAUUGCUGAUGGCGCGCAGGGGUCGACUCGCGAGUAUCUGCGACCCCAACGGCGAGUUGAUAUUUACGCCACCCGCUCAGAGAGUUCAAUUUAUCCUGGGCGAAGAUGUCGGGGACGAUGCUCACGAGUCUCAUCCUCUUUUCUCCGAGAUGGAGGAGCUCGUCAAAGAUGGCGACGAGAUGGAGUGGAAGGAAACCGCCAGAUGGAUCAAGUUCGAGGAGGACGUGGAGGAGGGCGGCAACCGCUGGAGCAAACCCCACGUGGCCACCCUCUCGCUGCACUCGCUCUUCGAGCUCAGAAGUUUGCUGCUGAACGGCACGGUUAUGCUAGACAUGGAGGCAAGCGGCUUGGAACAAAUUACAGACCUCGUUCUCGACAAUAUGGUCAACAAAAGCGUGCUCUCGAUCAACGUUAAAGAUAAGGUACGCGAGGCGCUUCUGGUCCGACACCGACAUCAGUUCGAGAGACGCAAGGAUAACAACAUGUCCAGAUUACCGAUUAUAAGAUCGCUUGCCGAGAUCGGACGAAAUCAUUCGUCAUCGAAGAAUUGUGACUGUUCAUGUGGUAUGCAUGCCUUGUUGACGUCAGAUUUCCAGGAGCGUCGUGAUAACGGUGACGCUUACGCGCCUGCCGUCGCUCGGAGUACGAGCUGUCCCGAUUCGAAUACAGCCUUACUGUCCAAAGAGGCGAAAGACCUUAAAGGCCCUUACCUAUUGGUUCCAGAUGAAAUUGGAAUCCCAUACGUGGUGGGUUUUACAACCUGGUUCGCAAUGUGUCCACUAAAAGUGGAAGAAUCGAAUUCUGCACCGGCUAUCGCCGCCGUGGGUCAGGGCGGUGGUGCAGGACUGAAUCCGAGCGGCCGCUUUCUAGCCAUACCCGGUAACCCUGGUCAAGAACCCGGGCCAAUGGGCAUCGAUCGAAGUCCCAGCAGUAUGUCCAUUAGCAGAAAUCAUAGUUCAAGUGCUUUAGAAAAUGGGGACGCAAAUCAUAGGGGUAAUACACAUUUUAUGCGUAAAAUACCUGCGGGAGCUGAGGCCAGUAAUAUUUUGGUUGGAGAGGUUGAUUUUCUGGACAAAACCCUAUCUGCCUUCAUCCGUCUUAGUCAAGCAAGUAUAAUGGGCGACUUAACAGAGGUGCCAGUACCGACAAGAUUCAUUUUCAUAUUACUUGGCCCUACGGGCGGUAUUUCAAGUUUUCAUGAAAUUGGUCGAGCUAUGGCAACGUUAAUGUCAGAUGAGGUCUUCCACGACGUAGCUUAUAAAGCGAAAAAUAGAAAUCAUUUAUUGGCUGGGAUCGAUGAGUUUCUUGACGCUGUUACUGUUUUACCGCCAGGUGAAUGGGAUCCUACCAUUAGAAUAGAACCACCCGCUGCUAUUCCUUCACAAGAUACGAGAAAAAGACCAAAGGAAGAGAAAUUAGAAGAAAUCGAUGAAGAAGCAGAUGAACAAAAAUUACGGGAUGAGUCAGGACUUUCCAGAACAGGCAGACUUUUUGGAGGAUUAAUAAACGAUGUUAAACGGAAGGCACCAGUUUACUUCUCUGAUUUCAAAGAUGCCGUAGCUCUCCAAUGCGUUGCCUCAUUCAUCUUUCUUUAUUUUGCCUGCCUCUCGCCUAUUAUCACAUUCGGUGGUCUUCUUAGUGAAGCCACUGGUAAAAACAUGGCGGCUAUGGAAUCUCUUGUUUCUGGUUUUGUAUGUGGAUUGGGAUAUGGCUUCUUUUCUGGCCAACCACUCACCAUUUUAGGAUCUACAGGUCCAGUGCUGGUAUUUGAGACAAUUGUUUUCGAAUUUUGCAAGAAGUACGAUUGGGAUUACAUGUCGUUUCGAUUUUGGAUUGGCACUUGGAUAACCAUCAUUUUAAUCAUCUUGGUUGCAAUCGACGCCAGCGCUUUAGUUUGUUAUAUAACAAGAUUCACCGAAGAGAAUUUUGCAACCUUGAUCGCUUUUAUUUUCAUUUAUAAGGCUGUCGAAAAUGUACUGACGAUAGGAAAAAAAUUCCCUAUAAAUCCUCAUGCGACCGAUGUAAAUUUUUCAUCCAACUAUGAACUAUGUUUAUGCAAACCUCCAAACAGUACUCUCAAUUUAUUGCCACCUGGUCAUGAACAUGUCAAUUGGUCAGCUAUGAGUAGGAUUGCGUGUCAGAACUUCAACGGCACGGUCAUUGACGAUUGCCACCAACCGCACUAUGUACCCGACGUGUUCCUAAUGUCAAUUAUUCUUUUUAUGGGUACAUUUUUGGUUUCGGUGGAGUUGAAAGAUUUUAAAAAUGCUCUUUUCUUUCCUUCAAAGGUCAGGGCGAUUGUUAGUGAUUUUGCCGUUAUCAUAGCCAUUUUCUCAAUGUCGCUUAUGGAUUAUUUUGUUGGAAUCGCUACUCCAAAACUGGAAGUUCCUGCUGAGUUUAAACCCACUUUGGAUGGUCGUGGUUGGAUGAUAUGGCCUUUCAACAGGAAUCCAUGGUGGAGUGCGCUCAUAGCAGUUGCUCCAGCACUGCUUGGCACGAUUCUGAUUUUCAUGGAUCAGCAAAUUACGGCAGUCAUCGUUAAUCGGAAAGAAAAUAAACUGAAAAAAGGAUGUGGUUACCACUUGGAUCUUUUCGUUCUGGCGAUCCUAAUCGAGAUUUGCUCUAUUAUGGGUCUGCCCUGGUUUGUGGCUGCGACAGUACUCUCGAUUAACCACGUCAACUCGUUAAAGUUGGAAUCUGAAUGUGCAGCACCGGGUGAGAAGCCUCAGUUCCUAGGAGUACGCGAGCAGAGGGUUACACACAUCCUGAUCUUUUUGAUGAUCGGUUGUUCAGUUUUUUUGACACCAAUGUUGAAGCACAUACCAAUGCCAGUGCUCUUUGGCGUAUUUCUUUAUAUGGGAGUGGCAUCUUUAAAAGGACUACAGUUUUUCGACCGGAUAAUGAUCAUGUUAAUGCCCGUCAAAUAUCAACCAGAUUAUAUGUUCCUUCGGCAGGUACCACUGAAACGAGUUCACUUGUUCACUUUGAUACAACUCACCUGCCUUGCCUGCCUUUGGAUCAUCAAAUCAUUUAGUUCGACUUCUAUUCUUUUCCCACUAAUGUUGGUAGUUAUGAUUGGCAUUAGGAAAAGCCUGGAUUUACUUUUUACCCAGAGAGAAUUGAAAAUUUUGGACGACGUAAUGCCAGAACCGCAUAAGAAGCAUGCUGAAGACCUUCGCCAAUUGGAGAAUGGCGAGGAGCACAACGACUCGAUCGGCUUCGCGUCGUCUGGUAACUUGCAGAUUCCUUUGGCCAAUGGAAAUAUUAUGAAAAUACCCCUCACAAGCAUAAAUAUCAGCGAGGAGGUGAAUAAAACUGGUAUCUGGCAGCAGGUCAACGAGGGAAACGACAAAAACAAACAGUCUAAUAAGUUGAUCAAUGUAGGGAAACAGAAGAAGCAUUCGAAGAAAGAUGCUGUUCUGUCAACAGACGAGACGACGAGGCUAACUACUAUGACGGAGGAAGACGAGGAUGACGGUGGCAUAUCAAUCAAGGUGAAAAACGUUAACAACUCUAAAUUUUAACCAUCACUACUACAACAACUACUACUACUACCAUCACCGAGAAUAACAGUACACGGCAAGAGCACGAUACACCGGCAUGCGACAUAACCCUAUGUAUUACGGCUGUUGACUUGAUACGAUCGAAAGAUACUAGUCCUUUCAAGGCAAAUGGUACUACUUCCGCCGAGACUUCCGUCUGAUUUGUACAUCAAAUACACAAUGCCGUUAUCAAUUCAUACAAAAUAUGAAGUCACGUUUACAAAAGUUACUUUAACAGUUAAGAUUUCAACUGAAUAAUCUCUGAAGAUUUCCGAGGUUUUAUAUACAAUUCAAGAUAGUGACAAACAAUAUUAGUAACAAAUUAGCACGGAAUAGUGAAAUGAAUGACUCAUUAACAUGAUAAGACGAUUUAAUAUAGACGAUAUUUAUUUUACAAUCUGAUGAUCCGUAUACUUCGUACGAUAAAACAAAUUAUAAAUUAUUGUAAUAGCAAAGUAUUAUUUUGACGAUGAUCAUGAUAAUAAAUUUACGUAUUUUGGCGAAUUUUAAGACCUUGAAAAAUGUUUGUGUCAUAAAUUGUGCGUAAUUAUUAAUCGCGUGAGAAGUGAAAGUAUAAGUGCAAGAUGCGUUUUCAGAGACAGUUUUAUAGUAAAGAGGCUCUAUUAUUAAAGACAUUAUUUCUACACCGAAAUUAUAACUUAUUGUAAAAUGUCAGAUGAUAGAUAAUGUCGUUGUGUUAAUUGCAAUUCACAUGUUAUUCAUAUGAUCGCACGCAUUCUUCAAAAGUAUUUGAUAAACUUACAUCACUGAGAUGAUAACAAUUUUUUAAUACAAGCAAAUAAUUAAUGAUUAUAAAAAUGUAGCAUUGCAUUUUACACUGAAACGCACAUUUCUAAUGACAUUAAAGAAUAUCAAUAAGUUCUCACAUAAUUUAAAUAGGUACAAUAUGUAAAGGAACUUAUGACAUUUGAAAAACUCGUUAAAAAUAGCAAAGAAUUCUUAAAGAUGUUUGUUAAAAUUUGUAUCAUUUGUUGUAGAGAUAUGUUAUGUAGCAUUAUAAAAAUUAGCAUGUUUAAAUAUUUACUUAGCGUUAAUGAUUCAUGCUUACUGGUUGACAUUAUUUUUAAAAAUACCGUAAAGUGAUUAAGACUUUACUAGCAUUCUAUAAGUUGUAAAAAUAUAUUUCAAUUUACUAAGCAAAAUGCCAAAAAACCCCGAAUGAGUGCUUCCUUUAAAAACUAUCACUAUUUGCUUUACCAAAUGAAAUAGUUUUUUAUGGUGGAAUGCACGUACGAUGUUUAGUACUGUUACAAGAGUCAUUGCAUUUUUAAAAGAAGAACGUUCUUUAAUGCAAAGAAACGGCGUUUACUGGAUAUAAAAGAAGAUGUGAUUUUCAAGUAAAAAAUUGAGACUCGUUUAGUUUAAAUUUUUUGAAGAACAUUCUUCUUAGGACCGAAUAUAUGUAAAAAAGUUAAAAAAUGGUUAUUAAAGAAUUACUAAAAUAAAUUUUCAGUUUGUUGAUUAAUUUGAUCGUAGGAAUAAUUUGAAUUAUGCGAAAUUAAAAAAAACUUGCAUUUCUACUGUUAAAUGACCUCCAAUGUUUAAUUUUAUUCUUGUUGAAUCAUCUAUACGUGAGAAGGUUCACGUUUUUAUAUUUAAUUAAAAUUGAUGAUAAGAAAGUUGAUGGGAAAAUAAUGUAAUUUUCAGAGCACGUCUUUAAAGUGCAUGUACCAGUUUAUUCAAUGUAUCAAAAUCUCAUUAUGUAAAACAUGGCAAUGUUCGAUAUUAAACAUCGUAGAUUUAGAGAACGUCAGAAUUAUUAGUAUUAUUUGGUUGUGAUUAGAUAAUCAUUGUAUUUCGAUUACGUGAUAAAAUGCGAAUCAUAAAUGAAUUCUGUAAAAUGGUUUAAUUGAAAACCGCAAUAUUCUAAUGCAAUAAUUUUAUUUUACUAAAGUUACAUUUCAAGCAAUCGCAAAAUUGUAAAGAUCUGUAAUUGAAAUGCGAAGGAAAACAGCUGGGAGCUUCAAUGAAUUUUCGAAGACGUGUGAUUGCAAUUUAUUAUAUACUCGUCUAUUAAACUAUUAUUAAAACUGAGGAGGCAUUAUAUUGUUUAAUUAAGAAGUUUUUAUUGUAUUUUGCGUAUAGAGGAAAGUGAUAUAAGUUUGGCAUUUUUAUCGUCAUCUUGUAUCGAUGUAAAUAAAUAAAUGCGUGUAUAGAUUAGGACAAAAAUAUGGUUAAUGUAAUAAAAUAUCAUUGAUACAAGCUUA